RNAcentral lists this ribosomal RNA (659 nucleotides) under Bacillus sp. HPC1313. RNAcentral's name for it is "bacterial SSU rRNA". It matches the Rfam family "Bacterial small subunit ribosomal RNA", at positions 34 to 672 of the family's 1533-position model. The record is from RNAcentral. Lineage: Bacteria; Bacillati; Bacillota; Bacilli; Caryophanales; Bacillaceae.
CGGCUGGGACGCGUGCCUAGUACAUGCAAUGCGAGCGAACAGAGAAGGAGCUUGCUCCUUUGACGUUAGCGGCGGACGGGUGAGUAACACGUGGGCAACCUACCUUAUAGUUUGGGAUAACUCCGGGAAACCGGGGCUAAUACCGAAUAAUCUGUUUCACCUCAUGGUGAAAUAUUGAAAGACGGUUUCGGCUGUCGCUAUAGGAUGGGCCCGCGGCGCAUUAGCUAGUUGGUGAGGUAACGGCUCACCAAGGCGACGAUGCGUAGCCGACCUGAGAGGGUGAUCGGCCACACUGGGACUGAGACACGGCCCAGACUCCUACGGGAGGCAGCAGUAGGGAAUCUUCCACAAUGGGCGAAAGCCUGAUGGAGCAACGCCGCGUGAGUGAAGAAGGAUUUCGGUUCGUAAAACUCUGUUGUAAGGGAAGAACAAGUACAGUAGUAACUGGCUGUACCUUGACGGUACCUUAUUAGAAAGCCACGGCUAACUACGUGCCAGCAGCCGCGGUAAUACGUAGGUGGCAAGCGUUGUCCGGAAUUAUUGGGCGUAAAGCGCGCGCAGGUGGUUUCUUAAGUCUGAUGUGAAAGCCCACGGCUCAACCGUGGAGGGUCAUUGGAAACUGGGAGACUUGAGUGCAGAAGAGGAUAGUGGAAUUCCAG